AUGUUCUCUGUAGCUCUGCUGCUGCUGGCUGCUGGAUCCUGUGUGAAGUGUGAACAGUUGACACAGCCAGCCUCAGUGACUGUGCAGCCAGAUCAAUGUCUUACCAUCACCUGUCAUGUCUCUUAUUCUCUUAGCAGUUAUUGCACAGCUUGGAUCAGACAGCCUGCAGGGAAAGAACUGGAGUGGAUUGGAGGUGCACAUGUUGGAUACACCCCAUACUACAAAGAUUCACUAAAGAACAAGUUCAGUAUCGACUUAGACUCUUCCACCAAAACAGUGACUCUAAACGGACAAAAUGUGCAGCCUGAAGACACUGCUGUGUAUUACUGUGCCAGAGACCCACAAUAACACAAACCAUCAGCAGACCUGAACAAAAACCCCUCAGUGCCUGAACACUUGUAAGAUGAAGCCACCAGAGGAGGAGCCCUCAGACCAC
This is a non-coding RNA of Thunnus maccoyii (southern bluefin tuna), 436 nucleotides long. The record is from the annotation of a RefSeq genome assembly. NCBI's taxonomy places the organism in Eukaryota, Metazoa, Chordata, Actinopteri, Scombriformes, Scombridae.